This 331-nucleotide unclassified non-coding RNA is filed under the name uncultured Gigasporaceae. RNAcentral describes it as "SSU rRNA". It matches the Rfam family "Eukaryotic small subunit ribosomal RNA", at positions 548 to 886 of the family's 1831-position model. The record is from RNAcentral. Lineage: Eukaryota; Fungi; Glomeromycota; Glomeromycetes; Diversisporales; Gigasporaceae.
UUGGAGGGCAAGUCUGGUGCUAGCAGCCGCAGUAAUUCCAGCUCCAAUAGUGUAUAUUAAAGUUGUUGCAGUUAAAAAGCUCGUAGUUGAAUUUCAGGGUUCCACCGUUGGUCAGGCAAUAGUCUGUACUGGCGUGUGGAAUUUCUACCUUCUGGGGAACCAUCAUGUUAUUUAUUUAGCGUGGUGGGAAACCAGGACCUUUAUCUUGAAAAAAUUAGAGUGUUCAAAGCAGGCUUACGUCUGAAUACAUUAGCAUGGAAUAAUAAAAUAGGACAGUGGUCCUGUUUUGUUAGUUUCUGAAUCACCGUAAUGAUUAAUAGGGAUAGUUGGG